This 274-nucleotide ribosomal RNA is filed under the name uncultured bacterium. Its description in RNAcentral is "partial 16S ribosomal RNA". It matches the Rfam family "Bacterial small subunit ribosomal RNA", at positions 523 to 796 of the family's 1533-position model. The record is from RNAcentral.
AUACGGAGGGUGCAAGCGUUGUUCGGAAUUAUUGGGCGUAAAGAGCAUGUAGGCGGUUCGUUAAGUCUGAUGUGAAAGCCCGGGGCUCAACCCCGGAAGUGCAUUGGAUACUGGCGAACUUGAGUACGGGAGAGGAAAGUGGAAUUUCGAGUGUAGGGGUGAAAUCCGUAGAUAUUCGAAGGAACACCAGUGGCGAAGGCGGCUUUCUGGACCGAUACUGACGCUGAGGAACGAAAGCGUGGGGAGCGAACAGGAUUAGAAACCCCGGUAGUCC